This 466-nucleotide ribosomal RNA is filed under the name uncultured bacterium. RNAcentral describes it as "partial 16S ribosomal RNA". It matches the Rfam family "Bacterial small subunit ribosomal RNA", at positions 28 to 507 of the family's 1533-position model. The record is from RNAcentral.
GAUGAACGCUGGCGGCGUGCUUAACACAUGCAAGUCGAACGAUGAAGCCCAGCUUGCUGGGUGGAUUAGUGGCGAACGGGUGAGUAACACGUGAGUAACCUGCCCUUAACUCUGGGAUAAGCCUGGGAAACUGGGUCUAAUACCGGAGAGGAGCGUCCACCGCAUGGGGGGUGUUGGAAAGAUUUAUCGGUUUUGGAUGGACUCGCGGCCUACCAGCUUGUUGGUGAGGUAAUGGCUCACCAAGGCGACGACGGGUAGCCGGCCUGAGAGGGUGACCGGCCACACUGGGACUGAGACACGGCCCAGACUCCUACGGGAGGCAGCAGUGGGGAAUAUUGCACAAUGGGCGCAAGCCUGAUGCAGCGACGCCGCGUGAGGGAUGACGGCCUUCGGGUUGUAAACCUCUUUCAGUAGGGAAGAAGCGAAAGUGACGGUACCUGCAGAAGAAGCACCGGCUAACUACGUG